AGUGAUGCCGGACUACAGACCGGCGGAUACGGGUGGUUGCACUGGUUAUUCGUGUUCGCUGGUUUUAAGUGGUGGCUAGGUGGUUAGUGAAUUCCGAAGUGAAAUCUCUUGGCUGAACUCAGAAACUGCCUUAGAUAGUAUUGAUCGUGAGUAUCGUUGAGGUAGGCGGAAUAUGUCAUGUAGCGGUUAAAUGCAUAGAUGUGGCGUAGAACACCAAUGGCGAAGGCAGCUUGCUAAACGAUGAUUGACGCUGAGGCACGAAAGCGUGGGGAUCAAACAGGAUUAGAUACCCUGGUAGUC
This 300-nucleotide ribosomal RNA is filed under the name uncultured Halorubrum sp. RNAcentral's name for it is "partial 16S ribosomal RNA". The stretch from base 55 to 300 matches the Rfam family "Bacterial small subunit ribosomal RNA", at positions 550 to 795 of the family's 1533-position model. The record is from RNAcentral. Lineage: Archaea; Methanobacteriati; Methanobacteriota; Halobacteria; Halobacteriales; Haloferacaceae.